Molecule: non-coding RNA, 351 nt
Organism: Pelobates cultripes (western spadefoot toad)
Lineage: Eukaryota; Metazoa; Chordata; Amphibia; Anura; Pelobatidae
Source: the annotation of a GenBank genome assembly
CACCAGUCAAUUAUCAAGCUAAUUUCGGGAGGGAGUCAGAUGCUGCCAUGAUUGAUAGCCAGGAAAAGAAAAUUACUGUAAGUAUGGUUUACAUUUUCCUUAUUCCUGGCUAAUCAUGGCAGCAUCACUUAUGGGUAAUACCUAAGUUUAACAAACUAAUAAGGGGGAUAAACAACAUCCAUUACAACCGAGAUUGCAACACUAAUUUAGUGCAUUUGUUUGAGCUUGUGAACGGAAGACAAAACACCUCUUCCAAAAGAGUCCUAACCUCACCAUCUGAGGAAGGGGAUUUAGAGGUGAUUAUUUCAGCUGACUUAAAGGCAGGCAGAGAAUGUAAUAACAAGAAAGGAG